GGCUGACGGACGUGAGCUCGGCCGGCGCUUCGGGUCCGGCCACUUCCGGGAGCUCCGGCGCAGGCGCACUCUGCGCGGGGCCCUUUCGCCGUCCGCGGUCACGUGAAGGUGUCACGGCGACGCCGGUUACCUGGGCCUAGCUCGCCCUGCGCUGUGCUCUAAGAUCCGGGCUUUCGCUGCAUCUGGACUUCUUGUCUUCGUACUUAGUGCCGCGGUGGGUGGACCGAGUACUUUCAUUUAAGAAUAACUGUACCUCCACUCGAAUGACUCCCUGCUGAAGUAUUCCUGUUACUGCCACCUGCGAGAGUUUGCGCCUAAGUUCCCAAGACCUUACAGCCCCAGGGUUAUUGUGACCUAUGAUAGUUAAUUCAGCUAUUAUUGACGGGCUGCUGUGUACAGGCACUGAGUGCACAGUAAACCUAGUAGGCAAAGACUCUGCCAUUGUGCCUCUCACAGUCAGUUAAGGACACAGACCUAAGGAACAUUGAAGAAAUUUGAAUAUAGAUGGACUGAGUACUAGAUAAGAUGAAACUGCAUUGCCAUGGAAAGGUGGAGAUCAUUAACUGAAAAGAGCAAGUCACAGAACAAAUUGCUCCAGGGAAAACACCACCGCUGUCCCACUGAGCACAAAUACGCCAUGGCAAAGGAUGCUGGACCCUAGGGGCUUUCACCUGAACCUCUGCAACUGCUGCUUCUGGGGGUAGUACUGCCAACCUACCAGAAGGGUUUCUGCAUGCUUCAUGCAUCUUCAUGUCACCAGAUUUCACAGAGGGAAACAGUAAUUUGAUCCUACCUUUUAGUAUUUAUUAACCUGUUAGAUGAAAAGUAGUAUCUCAUUGUGCUUUUAAUCUUUAUGUUUAAUAGAUGAAUCAAUUAUGAAUGAAAUCAAAACUCUUGUGUUAUCUAUAUUUCUUUUUCUGUUAACUGCUUGUUUUUAUCCUUUGGAAAUUUUUUCUACUGGAUUACUCAUUGACUUAUUGACAUUAUUUAUUGAGUUAUAAAUGCUCUUUGUUUUAUUAAUCAUCCAUUUGUCAUGUAUUCUACAUUACCCUUUUGUCAUUUGUCUUUUGG
Lemur catta (Ring-tailed lemur) is the source of this 1071-nucleotide long non-coding RNA. RefSeq lists it as uncharacterized. The record is from RefSeq and is a predicted model, not a curated record. The transcript has 3 exons. Lineage: Eukaryota; Metazoa; Chordata; Mammalia; Primates; Lemuridae.